GUAACAAGGUUUCCGUAGGUGAACCUGCGGAAGGAUCAUUACCAUAUCAAAACUGUCUGGGGGACGCAUGCCGAUGAUGUUUCACACAAUUGUUUUACACAAUGAAACGUCAGGGUCACGUCCCUGUCUAGACCCUUGUUUUUUGCGUACUAUUUGUUUCCUUGGUGGGCUUUGCCUGCCAAAAGGACACUAUAUAACCCUUUGUAAUUGCAAUCAGCGUCAGAAAAACAUAAUAGUUACAACUUUCAACAACGGAUCUCUUGGUUCUGGCAUCGAUGAAGAACGCAGCGAAAUGCGAAAAGUAGUGUGAAUUGCAGAAUUCAGUGAAUCAUCGAAUCUUUGAACGCACAUUGCGCCCCUUGGUAUUCCAUGGGGCAUGCCUGUUCGAGCGUCAUUUGUACCUUCAAGCCCUGCUUGGUGUUGGGUGUUUGUCCCCGUUUUACAUGUGGGACUCGCCUUAAAGUGAUUGGCAGCCGGCGUAUAAGCCUUGGAGCGCAGCACAUUUUGCGUCCCUCGGCCUGAACGUUGGCGUCCAGUAAGCAUAUACUUUUGC
RNAcentral lists this ribosomal RNA (553 nucleotides) under Phoma sp. R193. Its description in RNAcentral is "eukaryotic LSU rRNA". The stretch from base 241 to 394 matches the Rfam family "5.8S ribosomal RNA". Lineage: Eukaryota; Fungi; Ascomycota; Dothideomycetes; Pleosporales; Didymellaceae. The record is from RNAcentral.